This 134-nucleotide ribosomal RNA is filed under the name uncultured Bacteroidales bacterium. RNAcentral's name for it is "partial 16S ribosomal RNA". It matches the Rfam family "Bacterial small subunit ribosomal RNA", at positions 190 to 327 of the family's 1533-position model. Lineage: Bacteria; Pseudomonadati; Bacteroidota; Bacteroidia; Bacteroidales. The record is from RNAcentral.
UGGAUAUCCUUUUAAAGGAUUCCGGUCAGCGAUGGGGAUGCGUUCCAUUAGAUAGUUGGCGGGGUAACGGCCCACCAAGUCGACGAUGGAUAGGGGUUCUGAGAGGAAGGUCCCCCACAUUGGAACUGAUACAC